UUUUUUAUUAGAGACACAUAUGUCAUACGGUUAUUUUGAUUUGCUAAAUGUAUGUUUACAUUCUCAGUUAGCUUCAGGCCUCACUGAGGCGAAGUAUUGAGGUAGAAAGCUGGUGAAGCCAUUUCCUGCUGUCAUUAUAUUCUGUUUGCACAGAUAAUAAACCUGGUUGACAAGAAGGACGUCGUUUUCAUUCGACACAACGCAGAGAUACAUGUGGCGUCAAUCCAGACCGGUUACACAAAGAAUGAUAAAUAGAGAAAACAGAUAUAAUUUGCUUAUUAUCUGAUUACCAGCUCUGCACAGCGGACUUGUAACACUAGCAGCAGUGGAGAUGGAGCAUCAGAACCUGGAGGCUUCUACUCUCCUGAAGAAGAAGAAUACAGCAACAAGGAUCCAUUUGAAGAUAGGUAAAUAUUUCACAGCUGCCUGGGCCUAGCAGCAAGAACCUCCAUCUGUCCCUGCCCCCAGGUCAAGAUCUACCGUGGCUCAAGGGCCUUCACCGCAAAGGACCAGAGGACCAUCAUCACUACAGUGGCCUCCAUCUCCAUCUGCCACAAGAUUAAGAUACACCUCGGGACAAAGGCCUCCACCACAGCCAUCACGAUCAACCCAGCCAGCAAAGAAGUCUCGCCUAGCACCGCCUCGGUGAGACUCCAGAAAGCAUGGAGCAAGAGACAAUUUCCCUUUUGUCUGAACAACAGAAAAGAAACAACCGGCAAUCAAUAAAAGAAAAGAUGGCGAAGGCGUUUGGAUACUGAAGACAAGAAAUAGUGCAUCGGAGGCCAAGCAUUGAAGGCUUCUUGGAGCGGUGGCCUGCACUUUUUCACAUGGAAGAGGUAAAUGCUGAGUUAAUGCGCAUAACAACAAUUCCAUUGGAGACAAAGUUCUUGGCGCAGUUGGACAAACACUCAGGUCAUCAGGAGCAGGGGAGGAGUUGUGAAACAGAAGACCACCGGGAUCUUGCAGGUUUUGGAUGAGACUGUGGACAUCGCCAUCAGAAGAGAAUGCAUCCUCAAAUCUCUAAUGAUCUACCUGGGUGAACCUGUUGACCAUCUCAUCAAAGAAUUCCAGGACGCUGAGGCUGGAGAACUGGAGCAGGCAACAAUGGAAGCCUUUGACACUGGGAAAGAGGAUCAGCUUCAUCGACCCAAAGACGUCAAGGUUCUCAUCGAAGGAACAGAGGUCCUCAGCGGCUUGCCCUCGGUUGCGACAGCUUUUGCCAUGCUCUUCGGGCUCAUAUACGCACUGAAAUGGGGCGAAGCCUGCGAGCUAGUUCAGGCAGUCAACUCGAGCACUUAUGCUGCAUUCAUACAUAACGCCCCCUUGCCACUCUACAACCAACCAAACAGAGUCUCCUUAAUAUGCCGCUCUAUUUAACCUGCCAGAUCUCUCUCCAUGCAUUGCUUGCUGC
Long non-coding RNA from Gymnodraco acuticeps, 1411 nucleotides. RefSeq lists it as uncharacterized. The transcript has 6 exons. The record is from RefSeq and is a predicted model, not a curated record. Lineage: Eukaryota; Metazoa; Chordata; Actinopteri; Perciformes; Bathydraconidae.